GGCCGCGCGGCUGGGUCGCCGACUGUCCCGGGGCAGGAAGCCUGGGCCGCCUCAAGGAGGCGCCAAAGGCUGCGGGGCUCAGCCACCUGGCCGCCCUUGAAGAGGCUCCCGCGGGGGACCCCUCCUGAGGGAGGUCACGGCAGCGGCGAGAAUGCGGGAAGCCGCGGAGGAUGGAGGAGUGGAAGGAGGAGGGCGAGGAGGAGAUCCAGGAGCACGGGCCCGAGCGUUGGCUCCCCAAGUGGGAGCGGCAGUGCCAGGCCCAGGUAGAGCAGGACCAGCAGCUGUCCCCUGAGCUGCAGGAGGCGGCGGCCGCCGCGAAGCCCUAGCACAAGCUGCACCAGCUGUGGCACCUCUUCCAAGACUCAGCCACCGCAGUGGCCCAGCUCUACAAAGACCCCGUGUGUCAGCAGCCAGCACUUUCUCUGUGCUCCCUUUCAAAACGCAACUGCCGCCGACACCAACCUCUACCAAAAAAGCGUGGAGACCCAUCAGCGAAGUUUAGAUUUUGGAGUUCAGAUUGCUAUCAGCGAGGCAAUGAGGGUGCGCUGGCUUGGGAUCAAAAACGCAGAAGAACCAGAUUUCAUCAGCUUCCUGGGUGGAAUGUUACCUCCAACACCAAACUCUACAGCUCCCCAAGAUUGACUGGAGUGUCCCCAAACUGAGUUACUUAAAAGGAAAUUUCUCAUCUGGAGAGACUGAUUUGUAACCCUUCCUGGAGGCAGGAGCUCAGCAUAUUUCUGUGGAAAAUUGGUGAAGAGUGUGCCUGUGGACCCAUUUUCACGUUUAGGUUUAGAUCCAGAUAGAUUUUUUUUCCUAUCAGAGUCAACACUUGCUCUAGAAAUGUUGAAAUAAAAUGUAAGAAUAUUGAAAUAAAAUGUAAGAACUGCAAUUUUUGACUGUUAGAUAGCCUAUCCUAAAAAUAUUUUUAUAAAAUUUGAGCUUACUGGGGUUACAAUAACAAUUUUUUUUUCCAACACUGAGUAGUUUGUUUCUUUACACUUUCAUGUUGUACAUGUUUUCUUACACUCUUGAGUCAAGGGAAGUUCUUAUGUCUUAGAACUCUGUUAUGGUUAUAGUUGCUUGGAAAGCCUGCUCCAUGACAAUUAAGUACAACAGGUAAUUGUUGGGUUAGUUCUCAUGGGAACUGGGAACUGCCUUUGACACCCUUCAUUAUCUAGUGUGCUGUCCAGAAUGAGAGUUGAUGAGCCAAGUGAGAGGGUAGAUUGAAGAGUCAUCGAUGUUCCUUCUGCCUGUUGUCCCUCAGGUCCUCCUUGCUUUAUAGUCAGGAUCA
RNAcentral lists this long non-coding RNA (1291 nucleotides) under Marmota monax (woodchuck). The record is from RNAcentral. Lineage: Eukaryota; Metazoa; Chordata; Mammalia; Rodentia; Sciuridae.